RNAcentral lists this ribosomal RNA (431 nucleotides) under uncultured bacterium. Its description in RNAcentral is "partial 16S ribosomal RNA". It matches the Rfam family "Bacterial small subunit ribosomal RNA", at positions 29 to 507 of the family's 1533-position model. The record is from RNAcentral.
AACGAACGCUGGCGGCAGGCUUAACACAUGCAAGUCGAGCGCCCCGCACGGGGAGCGGCAGACGGGUGAGUAACGCGUGGGAACGUACCUUUUGGUUCGGAACAACUCCGGGAAACUGGAGCUAAUACCGGAUAAGCCCUAACGGGGAAAGAUUUAUCGCCGAAAGAUCGGCCCGCGUCUGAUUAGCUAGUUGGUGAGGUAACGGCUCACCAAGGCGACGAUCAGUAGCUGGUCUGAGAGGAUGAUCAGCCACACUGGGACUGAGACACGGCCCAGACUCCUACGGGAGGCAGCAGUGGGGAAUAUUGGACAAUGGGCGCAAGCCUGAUCCAGCCAUGCCGCGUGAGUGAUGAAGGCCUUAGGGUUGUAAAGCUCUUUUGUCCGGGAAGAUAAUGACGGUACCGGAAGAAUAAGCCCCGGCUAACUUCGUG